This 1389-nucleotide ribosomal RNA is filed under the name metagenome. RNAcentral describes it as "bacterial LSU rRNA". It matches the Rfam family "Bacterial large subunit ribosomal RNA", at positions 1504 to 2925 of the family's 2925-position model. The record is from RNAcentral.
UACUGCGUUUAAGUGUGUAGCUAUAGGCUGUGUUGGCAAAUCCGCACGGACUGGCGAAGCACGAAAGUACACAGAAGCCCCGGCGGAUGUGAGCGGACCUAAAAACUGCCAAGAAAAACCCCUAAGGCCAGGCCAAAGCGGCCCGUACCGCAAACCGACACAGGUAGUCGAGAUGAAUAUUCUAAGGCGCUCGGGUGAGCCGCGGAGAAGGAACUAGGCAAAUUGAUGCUGUAACUUCGGGAUAAAGCAUACCGCUUUCGGGCGGUCCCAGUAAACUGGUUCAACCAACUGUUUAACAAAAACACAGGGCCCUGCAAAAUCGAAAGAUGACGUAUAGAGCCUGAUACCUGCCCGGUGCCGGAAGGUUAAGGAAGGAUGUUCGCAGCAAUGCAAAGCUUCUGACUGAAGCCCCGGUAAACGGCGGCCGUAACAAUAACGGUCCUAAGGUAGCGAAAUUCCUUGUCGGGUAAGUUCCGACCUGCACGAAUGGUCUAAUGAGUUGAACGCUGUCUCCUCCGCGAGCCCGGUGAAAUUGUAGUAUCGGUGAAGAUGCCGGUUACCCGUCACGGGACGGAAAGACCCCAUGAACCUCCACUACAGCUUUGCAUUGAUCUUGGGCAACAGAUGUGUAGGAUAGUUGGGAGGCUUUGAAGCGGUGUCGCCAGGCAUCGUGGAGCCAACGUUGAAAUACCAACCUUUUGUUGCCUAGGACCUAACCCCUGACGGGGGACAUUGCAUGGUGGGUAGUUUGACUGGGGUGGUCGCCUCCUAAAAUGUAACGGAGGCUCGCAAAGGUACCCUCAGUACGGUUGGUAAUCGUACGCAGAGCGCAUUAGUAGAAGGGUGCUUGACUGUGAGACAUACAGGUCGAGCAGGAGCGAAAGCUGGCUAAAGUGAUCCGGUGGUUCUGUAUGGAAGGGCCAUCGCUCAAAGGAUAAAAGGUACUCUGGGAUAACAGGCUGAUCUCCCCCAAGAGCUCAUAUCGACGGGGAGGUUUGGCACCUCGAUGUCGGUUCGUCACAUCCUGGGGCUGGAGAAGGUCCCAAGGGUUCGGCUGUUCGCCGAUUAAAGUGGCACGUGAACUGGGUUCAGAACGUCGCAAGACAGUUCGGUCCCUAUCUGUGAUGGGCGUUAGUGAAUUGAGGGGACGUGACCUUAGUACGAGAGGACCGGGUCGCACGUACCGCUGGUGUAUCAGUUGUCCCGCCAGGGGCAAUGCUGAGUAGCUACGUACGGACAGGAUAAACGCUGAAAGCAUCUAAGCGUGAAACCUACCCCGAGAUGAGUUCACUUUCAAGGGUCGUCGGAGACUACGACGUCGAUAGGCUACAGGUGUAAAGGUGGUAACAUCAAAGCCGAGUAGUACUAAUUGCCCGUACGCUUUAAUCA